UAACCUGCCCAUCAGAGGGGGAUAACAUCCGGAAACGGAUGCUAAAACCGCAUAGGUCUUCGAGCCGCAUGGCUUGAAGAGGAAAAGAGGCGCAAGCUUCUGCUGAUGGAUGGACCCGCGGUGCAUUAGCUAGUUGGUGAGGUAACGGCUCACCAAGGCCGUGAUGCAUAGCCGACCUGAGAGGGUGAUCGGCCACAUUGGGACUGAGACACGGCCCAA
RNAcentral lists this ribosomal RNA (219 nucleotides) under uncultured bacterium. RNAcentral's name for it is "partial 16S ribosomal RNA". It matches the Rfam family "Bacterial small subunit ribosomal RNA", at positions 122 to 334 of the family's 1533-position model. The record is from RNAcentral.